RNAcentral lists this ribosomal RNA (253 nucleotides) under uncultured bacterium. RNAcentral describes it as "partial 16S ribosomal RNA". It matches the Rfam family "Bacterial small subunit ribosomal RNA", at positions 524 to 776 of the family's 1533-position model. The record is from RNAcentral.
UACGGAGGGUGCAAGCGUUGUUCGGAAUUACUGGGCGUAAAGCGCGUGUAGGCGGUUGGGCAAGUCAGAUGUGAAAGCCUCUCGCUUAACGGGAGAAUGGCAUUUGAAACUACCCAGCUGGAGUUCGGGAGAGGAGAGUGGAAUUCCCGGUGUAGAGGUGAAAUUCGUAGAUAUCGGGAGGAACACCGGUGGCGAAGGCGGCUCUCUGGCCCGGUACUGACGCUGAGACGCGAAAGCGUGGGGAGCAAACAGG